Molecule: ribosomal RNA, 324 nt
Filed under: uncultured eukaryote
Lineage: Eukaryota
Description: partial 18S ribosomal RNA
Rfam family: Eukaryotic small subunit ribosomal RNA
Source: RNAcentral
CCCUUAGAUGCUCUGGGCCGCACGCGCGCUACACUGGUCGAUGCAACGAGUUUCUUUCCUUGGCCGACAGGCCUGGGCAAUCUUUGAACAUCGGUCGUGAUCGGGAUAGAUUCUUGUAAUUUUUGAUCUUAAACGAGGAAUUCCUAGUAAACGCAAGUCAUCAGCUUGCAUUGAUUACGUCCCUGCCCUUUGUACACACCGCCCGUCGCACCUACCGAUUGAAUGGUCCGGUGAAAUCUCCGGACUGGCGUGAGUCGGAGCAAUCUGACAAACACCGGAAAGUUGAUUAAACCUUACCAUUUAGAGGAAGGUGAAGUCGUAACA